This is an RNA transcript of Alligator mississippiensis (American alligator), 995 nucleotides long. RefSeq lists it as uncharacterized. The record is from RefSeq and is a predicted model, not a curated record. The transcript has 3 exons. Lineage: Eukaryota; Metazoa; Chordata; Crocodylia; Alligatoridae.
CUGGGAGACCCUGGCUCUGGCCGGCUGCAGCUUCCAACUCUCCAGCAUCUUGCUCGCGGCUUUUCUGCAGGGUUAUGCUUGGGGCAGUGUAUGUCCUGCUCGUCCAGCGAUGAGAGGUUGUCGUGAUCUAACAGGUCUUUGCUUCCCAGGGAGACGGGAUCGGCAGCAGCCCCAGGCCACAGAAGAUGCACACAAGAGCAAGCCGCCGGGUCCGAGCUCAGCCAGGAGCCGGGGGUCUAUCCUGACAUUGCCUAUGCAGACCUCUACUUCGGUAGCACAAGGACACAGACAAGACGACCCCCAGCAGCCCACGAACAUGCAGAAUACGGCACUGUUUCCACCCGCUGAGUCCUGCCGGGGAAGGACACCAGCAUGCCGGGGGCACCUGACUGGGAGACCCGGCGCCCUGCCUGGGCUCCCCUGCUUCUCGCAAACCUGCAGCCCCCCCAUUUCUGACCCCGGGGUCUCCAGGUCGCACUGUUGGGAGGCAGGUUUCUCACUGGGGCCUUGCCUCAAUUACCAGGGUAGCCCCCUCCUGGCGCUGUGGGACGGGACCGCUGUAGUGUAGAUGAGGCUCCGUGACUUCCAGCGUUGUCAGAUGCAUCGAUCAAAUCCAUACCUGCCCUCCAUGGGCUCCUGCAGGCGCUGAGGUUCAGUGGUACCCGCUGCUUAGCGAGUGUUUUCCUCUGUGUUGCUGCUGAGAGUACACGGGUCUGCUAUCAUUUCACCCGCGGAAACUCAGCUUGUAGCCUUGGGAGUCCCUUUUCCAUCCGCAACAGGUGCUGAGAUGCCCCGUCACAUCAGCACCUCUGCACUGGGGCUACUUCUAUUUUGGACAUCUACUUAUGGAGGAAGCAACAUCGACAGUUGAAGACGUUGGCAUUAGGAGUCCCAGCUCUUGCCUUUCCUCUUGAACAGAAGCUCUCCUUAGACCACCUUGGAAAGGCCACGGAGAAAAUGGGUCAAGUUUUUAAUAAAAAAGGGCUUCUUUCCCA